GAUGAACGCUGGCGGCGUGCUUAACACAUGCAAGUCGAGCGAAGCACUUUCUCGGAAGUUUUCGGAUGGAAGAGGAAGUGACUGAGCGGCGGACGGGUGAGUAACGCGUGGGGAACCUGCCUCAUACAGGGGAAUAACAGUUAGAAAUGACUGCUAAUGCCGCAUAAGCGCACACUGUGGCAUCACAGAGUGUGAAAAACUCCGGUGGUAUGAGAUGGCCCCGCGUCUGAUUAGGCAGUUGGCGGGGUAACGGCCCACCAAACCGACGAUCAGUAGCCGACCUGAGAGGGUGACCGGCCACAUUGGGACUGAGACACGGCCCAA
RNAcentral lists this ribosomal RNA (324 nucleotides) under uncultured bacterium. Its description in RNAcentral is "bacterial SSU rRNA". It matches the Rfam family "Bacterial small subunit ribosomal RNA", at positions 28 to 334 of the family's 1533-position model. The record is from RNAcentral.